UGAACGCUGGCGGCGUGCUUAACACAUGCAAGUCGAACGAACCUUCGGGUUAGUGGCGGACGGGUGAGUAACGCGUGAGAAUCUGCCCUCAGGAGGGGGAUAACAGCUGGAAACGGCUGCUAAUACCCCAUAUGCCGCGAGGUGAAAUGAAUUUCGCCUGAGGAUGAGCUCGCGUCUGAUUAGCUAGUUGGUGUGGGUAAUGGCUCACCAAGGCAUCGAUCAGUAGCUGGUCUGAGAGGAUGAUCAGCCACACUGGGACUGAGACACGGCCCAGACUCCUACGGGAGGCAGCAGUGGGGAAUUUUCCGCAAUGGGCGAAAGCCUGACGGAGCAACGCCGCGUGAGGGAUGAAGGCCUCUGGGCUGUAAACCUCUUUUAUCAAGGAAGAAGAUCUGACGGUACUUGAUGAAUAAGCCACGGCUAAUUC
This 427-nucleotide ribosomal RNA is filed under the name uncultured bacterium. Its description in RNAcentral is "bacterial SSU rRNA". It matches the Rfam family "Bacterial small subunit ribosomal RNA", at positions 30 to 503 of the family's 1533-position model. The record is from RNAcentral.